GAAAUCUGGCAGCUUAACUGUGAGGCUUCUAGGGGAUACUGUUGGGCUUGGGGCCGGGAGAGGUGGGAGGUACCUUGGGGGUAGGGGUGAAAUCUUGUAAUCUUGGGGGGACCACCAGUGGCGAAGGCGUCC
Molecule: ribosomal RNA, 132 nt
Filed under: uncultured methanogenic archaeon
Lineage: Archaea; Methanobacteriati; Methanobacteriota
Description: partial 16S ribosomal RNA
Rfam family: Archaeal small subunit ribosomal RNA
Source: RNAcentral